This 537-nucleotide ribosomal RNA is filed under the name Curvularia spicifera. RNAcentral's name for it is "partial 18S ribosomal RNA". The stretch from base 219 to 372 matches the Rfam family "5.8S ribosomal RNA". The record is from RNAcentral. Lineage: Eukaryota; Fungi; Ascomycota; Dothideomycetes; Pleosporales; Pleosporaceae.
UGGAAGUAAAAAGUCGUAACAAGGUCUCCGUAGGUGAACCUGCGGAGGGAUCAUUACACAAUAAAAUACGAAGGCCGUUCGCGGCUGGACUAUUUAUUACCCUUGUCUUUUGCGCACUUGUUGUUUCCUGGGCGGGUUCGCUCGCCACCAGGACCACAAUAUAAACCUUUUUUAUGCAGUUGCAAUCAGCGUCAGUAUAACAAAUGUAAAUCAUUUACAACUUUCAACAACGGAUCUCUUGGUUCUGGCAUCGAUGAAGAACGCAGCGAAAUGCGAUACGUAGUGUGAAUUGCAGAAUUCAGUGAAUCAUCGAAUCUUUGAACGCACAUUGCGCCCUUUGGUAUUCCAAAGGGCAUGCCUGUUCGAGCGUCAUUUGUACCCUCAAGCUUUGCUUGGUGUUGGGCGUUUUUGUCUUUGGCCCGCCAAAGACUCGCCUUAAAAUGAUUGGCAGCCGGCCUACUGGUUUCGCAGCGCAGCACAUUUUUGCGCUUGCAAUCAGCAAAAGAGGACGGCAAUCCAUCAAGACUCCUUCUCACG